Molecule: signal recognition particle RNA, 119 nt
Filed under: Photobacterium profundum
Lineage: Bacteria; Pseudomonadati; Pseudomonadota; Gammaproteobacteria; Vibrionales; Vibrionaceae
Rfam family: Bacterial small signal recognition particle RNA (bases 9-105)
About the family: The signal recognition particle (SRP) is a universally conserved ribonucleoprotein involved in the co-translational targeting of proteins to membranes.
Source: RNAcentral
GAGGCCCCCAUUGGUCCUCCCGCAACACUAACCUGUGAACUCGGCCAGACCCGGAAGGGAGCAACCGCAGCAGGUGACGUGUGUGCCGGGAUGUGGCUGGUGGGGGCUUCCACCCAUCU